Nilaparvata lugens (brown planthopper) is the source of this 756-nucleotide long non-coding RNA. RefSeq lists it as uncharacterized. The transcript is spliced from 4 exons. The record is from RefSeq and is a predicted model, not a curated record. NCBI's taxonomy places the organism in Eukaryota, Metazoa, Arthropoda, Insecta, Hemiptera, Delphacidae.
CUUUCAUAACAGUCAGUGUGAAUGAUGUAUUUUGGGUUGGUGAUGUUUUUAACCGGAUUUUUGGUUUUUCACAUAUAAGUUUUUUAGUUUUUGUGUUAAUUUAUUGAUUUGAGGUUGCUAUAAUCCAUGAGAAUAGUGUGUGGUGUUCGAUAGUGUUAUUUUGUCCAAAAAAAUGAUUCUUCAUUUUUUUCGCCACCUACAGUUUCUACACCUAGGCUAUAAUAAUUAAUAUUUUGUGCAUUCAAAUAUUAUUUGAUCCUCGGAAUCGUGAAGUUCUCGAGCAAUUAAGAAGGCAGUCAAUCGAUUUACAUCCAAUUCAAUUGGCUACCAGUAAAGUUGGUAAAUGAUGUAUAUGAACUUUUGAGCCUACUACAUUCUACAUCCGUGUAUUUAAAUAUUCUAUGAAUGUGAAACUGUGAAGUUCUCGAUGAAUGGAAAAGCAGUCAAUAGAUUCACAACCAAUUUGAUUGGCUACCAAAAUAAAGUUGGUAAAAAUGAGAACAGAUAAAGAACUUGUACGUCAUAUCUCACAAACUGACAACAUUCUACAGCCGUUGAUAUUUUCAAUUUCUAUCAUGGAUAUGUCGCUGGCUACCGCUGGCCUUGAUUGGGCACGCAGUGUGGACGCAGCCAUGGACCAACGCAGCCAAGCUUACCAGGCUGGGCCAGCGACUCGACCAAUAUGUGGAAGCAGGACUGAAAUUUUUAAACAGGUAUGAUGAUUAUGAUUUUUGAAGGGGCGGAUUCAAGGAUCCA